This 30-nucleotide non-coding RNA is filed under the name Mus musculus (house mouse). The record is from RNAcentral. Lineage: Eukaryota; Metazoa; Chordata; Mammalia; Rodentia; Muridae.
UGGCAUCAAUGUCUGACUUCAGUUUGAUUC